CCUACGGGAGGCAGCAGUGAGGAAUAUUGGUCAAUGGGCUUACGCCUGAACCAGCCAAGUCGCGUGAGGGAAGACUGCCCUAUGGGUUGUAAACCUCUUUUGUCAGGGAGCAACGCCGGCUACGUGUAGCCUGCCUGAGAGUACCUGAAGAAAAAGCAUCGCCAACCUCCGUGCCAGCAGCCGCGGUAAUCCGGGGGAUGCGAGCGUUAUCCGGAUUUAUUGGGUUUAAAGGGUGCGUAGGCGGCAUGCCAAGUCAGCGGUAAAAUCGCGGGGCUAAACCACGCUCCGCCGUUGAAACUGGCGGUCUUGAGUGGGCGAGAAGUAUGCGGAAGGCGUGGUGGAGCGGUGAAAUGCAUAGAUAUAACGCAGAACUCCGAUUGCGAAGGCAGCAGACCGGAGCCCAACUGACGCUGAAGCACGAAAGCGUGGGUAUCGAACAGGAUUAGAUACCCUAGUAGUC
RNAcentral lists this ribosomal RNA (460 nucleotides) under uncultured bacterium. RNAcentral's name for it is "partial 16S ribosomal RNA". It matches the Rfam family "Bacterial small subunit ribosomal RNA", at positions 338 to 795 of the family's 1533-position model. The record is from RNAcentral.